RNAcentral lists this long non-coding RNA (398 nucleotides) under Numida meleagris (helmeted guineafowl). RNAcentral describes it as "lncRNA (ENSNMEG00000004692.1)". The record is from RNAcentral. Lineage: Eukaryota; Metazoa; Chordata; Aves; Galliformes; Numididae.
CCCCUCGUCCUGUUGUUAUCUGCCCUUAUAAAAAGUCCCUCCCCUGUCUUUCUUGUGUGUAUUCUGUUCUCCAUGUGCGAUUUUCCACUUCCCUGCUUCAAGAUCUGAAUGGUCAGAAUCUAAUCCUCUCAUCACCUGAACAACUCGCAGACAGCAGUGGUCUCUUUGAAAAUCUGGUCCAUGCUGCUGCUUGCUGGGCCUUGAGGCAACACAGUUACAUUGAAGAUACUUAACAAUACUUGUCACUGGUGUGAGAACCUGUGGAAAGGAGAGUCACCAGGGAGCCAAACUUACAGAAUUUAAGUGUAGAGCAUCAGGCACACUGCCGCCAGUCUCCUCACCUCACCAAGACACCAGGACAACGCAGUGCUCACGGAUGGUUUGAAACGAUCCAGUGA